CCUACGGGAGGCAGCAGUGGGGGAUAUUGCACAAUGGGGGAAACCCUGAUGCAGCGACGCCGCGUGUGGGAAGACGGUCCUCUGGAUUGUAAACCACUGUCCCCAGGGACGAAGAUGACGGUACCUGGGGAGGACGCUCCGGCUAACUACGUGCCAGCAGCCGCGGUAAUACGUAGGGAGCGAGCGUUGUCCGGAAUUACUGGGUGUACAGGGAGCGUAGGCGGGACUGCAAGUUGGGUGUCAAAUCUACCGGCUCAACCGGUAGCCGCACUCAAAACUGCAGUUCUUGAGUGAAGUAGAGGCAGGCGGAAUUCCUAGUGUAGCGGUGAAAUGCGUAGAUAUUAGGAGGAACACCAGUGGCGAAGGCGGCCUGCUGGGCUUUUACUGACGCUGAGGCUCGAAAGUGUGGGGAGCAAACAGGAUUAGAUACCCCAGUAGUC
Molecule: ribosomal RNA, 440 nt
Filed under: uncultured bacterium
Lineage: Bacteria
Description: partial 16S ribosomal RNA
Rfam family: Bacterial small subunit ribosomal RNA
Source: RNAcentral